AGAGUUUGAUCCUGGCUCAGAACGAACGCUGGCGGCGUGCUUAACACAUGCAAGUCGAACGUGAUCCGGAGCUUGCUCCGGUGAAAGUGGCGCACGGGUGAGUAACGCGUGGAUAACCUGCCCUGGUAUCUGGGAUAACAUCUCGAAAGGGGUGCUAAUACCGGAUAAGCUCACGACCUCUUCGGAGGAUGCGAGAAAAGGUGGCCUCUAUUUAUAAGCUACCGUAUCAUGAUGGGUCCGCGUACCAUUAGCUAGUUGGUGGGGUAAUGGCCUACCAAGGCUACGAUGGUUAGCUGGUCUGAGAGGAUGAUCAGCCACACUGGAACUGAGACACGGUCCAGACUCCUACGGGAGGCAGCAGUGGGGAAUUUUGCGCAAUGGGGGAAACCCUGACGCAGCAACGCCGCGUGAGUGAUGAAGGCUUUCGGGUCGUAAAGCUCUGUCAGAGGGGAAGAAAUGGAAACGGUUAAUACCCGUUUUUCUUGACGGUACCCUCGAAGGAAGCACCGGCUAACUCCGUGCCGGCCGCCGCGGUAAUAC
Molecule: ribosomal RNA, 540 nt
Filed under: uncultured bacterium
Lineage: Bacteria
Description: bacterial SSU rRNA
Rfam family: Bacterial small subunit ribosomal RNA
Source: RNAcentral